This 253-nucleotide ribosomal RNA is filed under the name uncultured bacterium. RNAcentral's name for it is "partial 16S ribosomal RNA". It matches the Rfam family "Bacterial small subunit ribosomal RNA", at positions 524 to 776 of the family's 1533-position model. The record is from RNAcentral.
UACAGAGGUCCCGAGCGUUGUUCGGAUUCACUGGGCGUAAAGGGUGCGUAGGUGGCAUGGCAAGUUUGAUGUGAAAGCUCAGGGCUUAACCCUGAAAUGGCAUUGAAUACUGCUGGGCUGGAGGUUUGGAGGGGGGACUGGAAUUCUUGGUGUAGCAGUGAAAUGCGUAGAUAUCAAGAGGAACACCAGUGGCGAAGGCGAGUCCCUGGACAACACCUGACACUGAGGCACGAAAGCCGGGGGAGCAAACAGG